AAACCAUGGUAUGGACACUUGCACAACAUCAAAUUAAAGCACUCUCAUGCCUCAUAUAAUGACUCUCUUUCUAACUACCAAAAAUUUGUAAUAUCUAUACGAAGUUU
RNAcentral lists this small nucleolar RNA (107 nucleotides) under Gossypium hirsutum (cotton). RNAcentral describes it as "Plant small nucleolar RNA R71". It matches the Rfam family "Plant small nucleolar RNA R71". From Rfam's summary of the family: R71 is a member of the C/D box family of snoRNAs containing the C (UGAUGA) and D (CUGA) box motifs. Multiple nearly identical copies of this snoRNA have been identified in Arabidopsis, and it is thought to function as a 2'-O-ribose methylation guide for 18S ribosomal RNA. The record is from Rfam by way of RNAcentral. Lineage: Eukaryota; Viridiplantae; Streptophyta; Magnoliopsida; Malvales; Malvaceae.